This 926-nucleotide unclassified non-coding RNA is filed under the name Hevea brasiliensis (rubber tree). Lineage: Eukaryota; Viridiplantae; Streptophyta; Magnoliopsida; Malpighiales; Euphorbiaceae. The record is from RNAcentral.
AAAGAAAGAGAAAGUACCCACAAAAAAGCAAAUUAAAGUUUCCACUGCAUGGACAAAAGAAGCUUUUACUUAGUUUUUCACAGCUAAUACCAUUCUGUACUUACUUUACUACUCCAAAUUUCAAUAUAUUCUCUCUUAAUCUCUCUCCGCACCCUCCCUUUUCUCAUCUUCUAACUCUUUAGACUCUUCAAGUGCUCUCUAUUGUCAAGAAAUGGUUAAAUUUGGAGGUGUAGUUAUUUGUCUCUUGAUUGUUGCAAUUGAUGUGGGUGCUGGGAUUCUUGGCAUCCAAGCAGAAAUUGCACAAAACAAGGUUAAGCACUUGAGGCUGUGGAUAUUUGAGUGUAGAGACCCAAGCCAAGAUGCUUUCAAACUAGGGUUGGCUGCAGCAGCACUAUUAGGUCUAGCCCAUGUUAUUGCUAACUUGCUUGGUGGGUGUAUGUGCAUUUGUUCUCAAGAAGAGCUUCAAAGAGCUUCCACUAACAAGCAACUUUCUGUGGCUUGCUUCUUUUUUACUUGGAUCAUAUUAGCAGUUGGAUUGUCGAUGUUGGUGAUAGGCACUUUGUCAAAUAACAAGUCAAGAGCUUCGUGUGGUUUCUCACACCAUCAUUUUCUAUCAAUUGGAGGCAUUUUGUGCUUUGUUCAUGGACUGUUCUGUGUUGCAUAUUACGUUUCUGCCACUGCUGCUCUUACUGAGGAAGAAAAGUAUGGUGGUGCUUAAGCUUAUAACCAUAAGGCCCUUUUAUGUGCUGCGCUUUUCUUUUCCUUUUUUCCUUUCUUUAGUCAUUAGUCAUUUUCAUGCCCUCUUAUUGCAAGGUAAAUUAAGUUUGUAAUCAUCCUGUUUAAUUUGUGGCAUGAAACAACUAAUUAAAUAUAUUAGUUGUUAUAUUAGUUGUUAAUUAAUUUAAAUUUAUUUUCUUUAUUCAAAA